UACAGAGGUCUCAAGCGUUGUUCGGAUUCAUUGGGCGUAAAGAGCUCGUAGGCGGUUCAGUAAGUCGGGUGUGAAAGCUCCGAGCUCAACUCGGAGAGGCCACCCGAUACUGCUGUGACUUGAGUCCAGUAGAGGAGCGUGGAAUUCCUGGUGUAGCGGUGAAAUGCGCAGAUAUCAGGAGGAACACCAGCAGCGAAGGCGGCGCUCUGGGCUGGAACUGACGCUGAGGAGCGAAAGCGUGGGUAGCAAACAGG
RNAcentral lists this ribosomal RNA (254 nucleotides) under uncultured bacterium. Its description in RNAcentral is "partial 16S ribosomal RNA". It matches the Rfam family "Bacterial small subunit ribosomal RNA", at positions 524 to 776 of the family's 1533-position model. The record is from RNAcentral.